CACGGAGUUAGCCGAUGCUUAUUCGCAGAGUACCGUCAUCAAAGUACACGUACUCCUUAUUCUUCCCCCUGUAAAAGCAGUUUACAACCCAUAAGGCCGUCUUCCUGCACGCGGCAUGGCUGGAUCAGUCUUCCGACCAUUGUCCAAUAUUCCUCACUGCUGCCUCCCGUAGGAGUCUGGUCCGUAUCUCAGUACCAGUGUGGGGGAUAUCCCUCUCAGAACCCCUAUCCUAUCGUAGCCUUGGGGAGCCGUUACCUCUCCAACUAGCUAAUAGAACGCAUACUCAUCUUUCACCGCCUCAGCUUUAAUAUAAAUAUGAUGCCACAUCUAUAUACCAUUAGGUAUUAAUCCAAAUUUCUCGGGCUAUCCCUAUGUGAAAGGCAGAUUGUAUACGCGUUACGCACCCGUACGCCGGUACGAAGCCCGAAAGCUCCUCCCUCGACUUGCAUGUGUUAGGCCUGCCCGCUAGCGUUCAUCCUGAGCCAGGAUCAAACUCUCG
RNAcentral lists this ribosomal RNA (499 nucleotides) under uncultured Capnocytophaga sp. RNAcentral describes it as "partial 16S ribosomal RNA". Lineage: Bacteria; Pseudomonadati; Bacteroidota; Flavobacteriia; Flavobacteriales; Flavobacteriaceae. The record is from RNAcentral.